Molecule: ribosomal RNA, 450 nt
Filed under: uncultured bacterium
Lineage: Bacteria
Description: partial 16S ribosomal RNA
Rfam family: Bacterial small subunit ribosomal RNA
Source: RNAcentral
GUGGGGAAUUUUGGACAAUGGGCGCAAGCCUGAUCCAGCAAUGCCCCGUGCAGGAAGAAGGCCUUCGGGUUGUAAACUGCUUUUGUACGGAACGAAAAGGCUCUGGUUAAUACCUGGGGCUCAUGACGGUACCGUAAGAAUAAGCACCGGCUAACUACGUGCCAGCAGCCGCGGUAAUACGUAGGGUGCAAGCGUUAAUCGGAAUUACUGGGCGUAAAGCGUGCGCAGGCGGGUUUGUAAGACAGACGUGAAAUCCCCGGGCUCAACCUGGGAAUGGCGUUUGUGACUGCAAAGCUGGAGUGCGGCAGAGGGGGAUGGAAUUCCGCGUGUAGCAGUGAAAUGCGUAGAUAUGCGGAGGAACACCGAUGGCGAAGGCAAUCCCCUGGGCCUGCACUGACGCUCAUGCACGAAAGCGUGGGGAGCAAACAGGAUUAGAUACCCUUGUAGUCC